This 450-nucleotide ribosomal RNA is filed under the name uncultured bacterium. RNAcentral describes it as "partial 16S ribosomal RNA". It matches the Rfam family "Bacterial small subunit ribosomal RNA", at positions 354 to 796 of the family's 1533-position model. The record is from RNAcentral.
GUGGGGAAUAUUGGACAAUGGGCGAAAGCCUGAUCCAGCCAUGCCGCGUGUGUGAAGAAGGUCUUCGGAUUGUAAAGCACUUUAAGUUGGGAGGAAGGGUAGUAACCUAAUACGUUGCUACUUUGACGUUACCGACAGAAUAAGCACCGGCUAACUUCGUGCCAGCAGCCGCGGUAAUACGAAGGGUGCAAGCGUUAAUCGGAAUUACUGGGCGUAAAGCGCGCGUAGGUGGUUCAGUAAGUUGGAAGUGAAAUCCCCGGGCUCAACCUGGGAACUGCUUUAAAAACUGCUGAGCUAGAGUACGGUAGAGGGUGGUGGAAUUUCCUGUGUAGCGGUGAAAUGCGUAGAUAUAGGAAGGAACACCAGUGGCGAAGGCGACCACCUGGACUGAUACUGACACUGAGGUGCGAAAGCGUGGGGAGCAAACAGGAUUAGAAACCCUUGUAGUCC